UGGUAAUGAUGGCAGAGAGGUCACACCCGUUCCCAUACCGAACACGGAAGUUAAGCUCUCUAGCGCCGAUGGUAGUUGAGACCUUGUCCCUGUGAGAGUAGGACAUUGCCAGGCA
Molecule: ribosomal RNA, 115 nt
Filed under: Bacillus cereus biovar anthracis str. CI
Lineage: Bacteria; Bacillati; Bacillota; Bacilli; Caryophanales; Bacillaceae
Source: RNAcentral